GCCAUCUUAGCUCAGAGGUUAGAGCACCGCAUUUGUAAUGUGAGGGUCCGGUUCAAAUCCAAUAGUCGGCA
This 71-nucleotide transfer RNA is filed under the name Triticum aestivum (bread wheat). It matches the Rfam family "tRNA". From Rfam's summary of the family: Transfer RNA (tRNA) molecules are approximately 80 nucleotides in length. Lineage: Eukaryota; Viridiplantae; Streptophyta; Magnoliopsida; Poales; Poaceae. The record is from Rfam by way of RNAcentral.